GUGUCAGCAGCCGCGGUAAUACGGAAGGUGCGAGCGUUAAUCGGAAUUACUGGGCGUAAAGCGCACGUAGGCGGCUUUUUAAGUCGGAUGUGAAAGCCCUGGGCUUAACCUGGGAAUUGCAUCCGAUACUGAAAGGCUAGAGUACGGUAGAGGGGGGUGGAAUUCCAGGUGUAGCGGUGAAAUGCGUAGAGAUCUGGAGGAACACCGGUGGCGAAGGCGGCCCCCUGGACUGAUACUGACGCUGAGGUGCGAAAGCGUGGGGAGCAAACAGGAUUAGAUACCCCUGUAGUCC
This 292-nucleotide ribosomal RNA is filed under the name uncultured bacterium. RNAcentral's name for it is "partial 16S ribosomal RNA". It matches the Rfam family "Bacterial small subunit ribosomal RNA", at positions 505 to 796 of the family's 1533-position model. The record is from RNAcentral.